GCUUCCGUAGCUCAGUUGGAUUCAGAGCACGUGGUUGCGGACCACGAGGCCGGGGGUUCGAGUCCCUCCGGGAGCA
RNAcentral lists this transfer RNA (76 nucleotides) under Archangium sp. Its description in RNAcentral is "tRNA-Arg". It matches the Rfam family "tRNA". Rfam says of the family: Transfer RNA (tRNA) molecules are approximately 80 nucleotides in length. Their secondary structure includes four short double-helical elements and three loops (D, anti-codon, and T loops). Further hydrogen bonds mediate the characteristic L-shaped molecular structure. tRNAs have two regions of fundamental functional importance: the anti-codon, which is responsible for specific mRNA codon recognition, and the 3' end, to which the tRNAs corresponding amino acid is attached (by aminoacyl-tRNA synthetases). tRNAs cope with the degeneracy of the genetic code in two manners: having more than one tRNA (with a specific anti-codon) for a particular amino acid; and 'wobble' base-pairing, i.e. permitting non-standard base-pairing at the 3rd anti-codon position. Lineage: Bacteria; Pseudomonadati; Myxococcota; Myxococcia; Myxococcales; Archangiaceae. The record is from RNAcentral.